UACGGAGGGUGCGAGCGUUGUCCGGAUUUAUUGGGCGUAAAGAGCGUGUAGGCGGCCGUACAGGUCAGCUGUGAAAACUCGAGGCUCAACCUCGAGACGUCGGUUGAAACCGUACGGCUAGAGUCCGGAAGAGGAGAGUGGAAUUCCCGGUGUAGCGGUGAAAUGCGCAGAUAUCGGGAAGAACACCCGUGGCGAAGGCGGCUCUCUGGGACGGUACUGACGCUGAGACGCGAAAGCGUGGGGAGCGAACAGG
This 253-nucleotide ribosomal RNA is filed under the name uncultured bacterium. RNAcentral describes it as "partial 16S ribosomal RNA". It matches the Rfam family "Bacterial small subunit ribosomal RNA", at positions 524 to 776 of the family's 1533-position model. The record is from RNAcentral.